RNAcentral lists this ribosomal RNA (406 nucleotides) under uncultured bacterium. RNAcentral's name for it is "partial 16S ribosomal RNA". It matches the Rfam family "Bacterial small subunit ribosomal RNA", at positions 30 to 526 of the family's 1533-position model. The record is from RNAcentral.
AUUGAACGCUGGCGGCAGGCCUAACACAUGCAAGUCGAGCGAGCGGCGGACGGGUGAGUAGUGUAUGGGGAUCUGCCCGAUGGGGGGGGAUAACUACGGGAAACGGUGGCGAAUACCGCAUACUAUCGGUUGAACCCAUAUGGGAUUAGCUAGUGGGUGGGGUAAAGGCUCACCAAGGCGACGAUCCCUCGCUGUUCUGAGAGGAUGAUCAGCCAGACUGGAACUGAGACACGGCCCGGACUCCUACGGGAGGCAGCAGUGGGGAAUAUUGGAAAAUGGGCGAAGUCCUGAUGCAGCCAUGCCGCGUGUAUGAAGAAGGUCUUAGGGUUGUAAAGUACGUUCAGCGGGGAGGCGUUACCUGCAGAAGAAGCACCGGCUAACUCCGUGCCAGCAGCCGCGGUAAUUC